UUGAUCCUGGUUCAGGACGAACGCUGGCGGCAUGCCUAACACAUGCAAGUCGAACGGAGUAAGAGAGAAGCUUGCUUAGCUCUUACUUAGUGGCGGACGGGUGAGUAACGCGUGAGUAACCUGCCUUUCAGAGGGGGAUAACGUUCUGAAAAGAACGCUAAUACCGCAUGACAUAUCGGAGCUGCAUGGCUCUGGUAUCAAAGGAGCAAUCCGCUGAAAGAUGGACUCGCGUCCGAUUAGCCAGUUGGCGGGGUAAAGGCCCACCAAAGCGACGAUCGGUAGCCGGGUUGAGAGACUGAACGGCCACAUUGGGACUGAGACACGGCCCAGACUCCUACGGGAGGCAGCAGUGGGGGAUAUUGCACAAUGGGCGAAAGCCUGAUGCAGCAAUGCCGCGUGAGGGAAGACGGUCUUCGGAUUGUAAACCUCUGUCCUUGGUGAAGAUAAUGACGGUAGCCAAGGAGGAAGCUCCGGCUAACUACGUGCCAGCAGC
This 493-nucleotide ribosomal RNA is filed under the name uncultured bacterium. RNAcentral describes it as "bacterial SSU rRNA". It matches the Rfam family "Bacterial small subunit ribosomal RNA", at positions 13 to 515 of the family's 1533-position model. The record is from RNAcentral.